Molecule: ribosomal RNA, 457 nt
Filed under: uncultured bacterium
Lineage: Bacteria
Description: bacterial SSU rRNA
Rfam family: Bacterial small subunit ribosomal RNA
Source: RNAcentral
GACGAACGCUGGCGGCAUGCCUAACACAUGCAAGUCUAGGGGUAGCAAUACCACUGGCGCACGGGUGAGUAACACGUAGGUUAUCUGCCCCCAUCACAGACAUAACCCCGGGAAACCGGGGCUAAUAUCUGAUGAGGUCGCGAGAUCAAAGCUUCGGCGGAUGGGGAUGAGCCUGCGGCUGAUUAGCUAGUUGGUGAGGUAAUGGCUCACCAAGGCGACGAUCAGUAGCUGGUUUGAGAGGACGAACAGCCACACUGGAACUGAGACACGGUCCAGACUCCUACGGGAGGCAGCAGUGAGGAAUAUUGGUCAAUGGGAGCAAUCCUGAACCAGCAAUGCCGCGUGUGGGAUGACAGGGCUUCGCCUUGUAAACCACUGUCGGACGGGACGAAAGGAGGCCUCGGGCCUCUGGGACGGUACCGUCGAAAGGAAGGGUCGGCUAACUACGUGCCAGCAG